RNAcentral lists this ribosomal RNA (254 nucleotides) under Mycoplasmataceae bacterium. Its description in RNAcentral is "partial 23S ribosomal RNA". It matches the Rfam family "Bacterial large subunit ribosomal RNA", at positions 1 to 254 of the family's 2925-position model. Lineage: Bacteria; Bacillati; Mycoplasmatota; Mollicutes; Mycoplasmatales; Mycoplasmataceae. The record is from RNAcentral.
UAAUAAGUUACAAAGGGCUUAUGGUGGAUGCCUUGGGACUGAUUGACGAAGAAGGUCGUGCCAAUCUGCGAUAAGGUACGGGGAGCCGAUAAGGGGCUACAAUCCGUACAUGACCGAAUGAGGCAACUCAUCUAAUAGAGAUAUUAGAUAUCAUUAACUGAAUUCAUAGGUUAAUGAAGUGAUACCCGCUGAAGUGAAACAUCUCAGUAGGCGGAGGAAAAGAAAACAACGUGAUUCCGUUAGUAGUGGCGAGC